This is a long non-coding RNA of Papaver somniferum (opium poppy), 1368 nucleotides long. RefSeq lists it as uncharacterized. NCBI's taxonomy places the organism in Eukaryota, Viridiplantae, Streptophyta, Magnoliopsida, Ranunculales, Papaveraceae. The record is from RefSeq and is a predicted model, not a curated record. The transcript has 5 exons.
ACAUCAAAGAAAAAAACCAAGAGUUUUCGCUGCUUUCUCUUCACGAACUCACCGCUCGAUUUUCUUCUCUCAGUGUUUGAUGAAGGAGAUUAAGUGGUACUUCCGCGAGAUGGAGAUGUAGAGUAGAUAGUUUUGGGGGUUUCCCUUUAAAUCUUCUUUUGGGGUUUUGAGACUGUUUGUUUUUCUUUUCUUUUAAGAUUUGAAGAAGGGGUCUUGUGUUUGUGUUGUAGGGAUUCGUCGAUUGAAGGAAAGCUUUGGUUUUUGAUACAGUGGAUUGCAAACAGGUUCAAUUUUGGUUGUUUCUCUGAAUCAAUAAACCCUAACCCAAUUUUUUUUUUAAAAGAUUUUGCAGGUACGAUUUUUUAUCCAAGAUAAGUUACGGAGAAACCCUAAUAGCCAUUCAAGUUUAUACUUUCAGUUUGGGAUAUCCAAAAUCGAAAGUUAAAGCAGGAUCUCCCACGUCAUGAGGAUGAGUCUUCAACACUGUCAUAGAAGAGGGAUUUUAUACCAAUUAAAAUCAUUGUGCAUCUUUGAUUGUGCUCAGGUACUGGAUCCAUAGCUGCUGGAUAAGGGCAAUAUAUUGUACAUAAUCCAUAGCAUCAGUUGGUUGGUCCCGGACCUGAAGUAUUUCGAUCUCAAGUCAACUGCGACUUCAAGGAUUAAGAAAACUUGAGUUAAGCAAAAAGAAACACAACUCAUACCACUUUAUCAAAGGAUGAUGUAAAUUAUGUGAAUGUACAUUCUAUAUCAAUAUCAGCUGAAGACUUAGAGGAAAUACCAAACUCUUAUUCAUUGUUUACGUAGAAUUCUAAGUAACGGGACGGGAGGCGAAGUCGCGCGACAUCAAAUCAAAAAUCCUAAGCAACUGGGCGAGUCGUAGCCGAGCCACACCAAAUCAAAAAGGCAUCGCGACGGGGUGGGGCGAGGCCGUGGAACACCAUUUCAAAAAUGCAUCGGGACGGGGCGGGGCGAGGCGAAGCGAAGCCGAAGCCGAGCCACAACUAAUCAAAAAUGUAUCGCAACGAAGCGAGGCAAAGUCGCGCGACACUGAAUAAAAAAUGCAUCAGAAUGGGAUGAGGCGAAUCCAAGCCACCCCAAAUUGGGACGGGGCGAGGCGAAGCGAAGCCGAGCCACACCAAAUAAAAAGUGCACGAUGGGGCGUGGCUACGUCACACCAAACCAGUAGCCACGCCAAACCAAAAAUAUAGUAAAAGAAAAAAAAAAUGAUGGUGGAUGGUUUUCAGGUCCGUCCGGUGCGUAGCACGGGCACAAAAUCUAGUUUAUAUUAUAGGAAUAAUUUUCUUGGGUUAAUAUAUCUACUGUAAAUUAACGUGCUUGUUCUUCUAUUAAAAGAGUUCAAUUACACCA